AAGAACGAGUGUGAGAGUGGAAAGUUCACACUGUGACGGUAUCUUACCAGAAAGGGACGGCUAACUACGUGCCAGCAGCCGCGGUAAUACGUAGGUCCCGAGCGUUGUCCGGAUUUAUUGGGCGUAAAGCGAGCGCAGGCGGUUAGAUAAGUCUGAAGUUAAAGGCUGUGGCUUAACCAUAGUACGCUUUGGAAACUGUUUAACUUGAGUGCAAGAGGGGAGAGUGGAAUUCCAUGUGUAGCGGUGAAAUGCGUAGAUAUAUGGAGGAACACCGGUGGCGAAAGCGGCUCUCUGGCUUGUAACUGACGCUGAGGCUCGAAAGCGUGGGGAGCAAACAGGAUUAAAUACCCUGGUAGUCCACGCCGUAAACGAUGAGUGCUAGGUGUUAGACCCUUUCCGGGGUUUAGUGCCGCAGCUAACGCAUUAAGCACUCCGCCUGGGGAGUAC
This 447-nucleotide ribosomal RNA is filed under the name uncultured bacterium. Its description in RNAcentral is "bacterial SSU rRNA". It matches the Rfam family "Bacterial small subunit ribosomal RNA", at positions 428 to 883 of the family's 1533-position model. The record is from RNAcentral.